CUACUAGGGUUUCUAAUCCUGUUUGCUCCCCACGCUUUCGAGCCUCAGCGUCAGUUACAGACCAGAGAGCCGCUUUCGCCACCGGUGUUCCUCCAUAUAUCUACGCAUUUCACCGCUACACAUGGAAUUCCACUCUCCCCUUCUGCACUCAAGUUAAACAGUUUCCAAAGCAUACUAUGGUUAAGCCACAGCCUUUAACUUCAGACUUAUCUAACCGCCUGCGCUCGCUUUACGCCCAAUAAAUCCGGACAACGCUCGGGACCUACGUAUUACCGCGGCGGCUGGCAC
RNAcentral lists this ribosomal RNA (288 nucleotides) under uncultured Streptococcus sp. RNAcentral's name for it is "partial 16S ribosomal RNA". The record is from RNAcentral. Lineage: Bacteria; Bacillati; Bacillota; Bacilli; Lactobacillales; Streptococcaceae.